UACGAAUCGUGCGAACGUUGUUCGGAAUCACUGGGCUUAAAGGGCGCGUAGGCGGGCGCUCAAGUCCGGGGUGAAAUCCCACAGCUCAACUGUGGAACGGCCCCGGAUACUGGGUGCCUCGAGGGAGGUAGGGGCGUGUGGAACGUUUGGUGGAGCGGUGAAAUGCGUUGAUAUCAAACGGAACUCCGGUGGCGAAGGCGACACGCUGGGCCUCUUCUGACGCUGAGGCGCGAAAGCCAGGGUAGCGAACGGG
This 253-nucleotide ribosomal RNA is filed under the name uncultured Gemmata sp. RNAcentral describes it as "partial 16S ribosomal RNA". It matches the Rfam family "Bacterial small subunit ribosomal RNA", at positions 524 to 776 of the family's 1533-position model. Lineage: Bacteria; Pseudomonadati; Planctomycetota; Planctomycetia; Gemmatales; Gemmataceae. The record is from RNAcentral.